AGCUUUCACUUCUUUUUUUUCAAAAAUAUCUACAUAAACAGAUAGAUUUACGUAUAUGUUAAGGUGUUAGAAGGUUUAGGCAAGGAUUUCUUGGAGCUACACCUUAACAUACACUAAAACUCCAUCAUUUUCAAGGGUUUACUAGCUUGGUAUGAUUCUCAACUUUACUAGUCGGGAAUUAUUUUGGACAUUUGGUUUUGCUAGCUUACGCACGGAACGCAAUUUGUGA
Molecule: long non-coding RNA, 229 nt
Filed under: Helianthus annuus (common sunflower)
Lineage: Eukaryota; Viridiplantae; Streptophyta; Magnoliopsida; Asterales; Asteraceae
Description: hypothetical non coding rna
Source: RNAcentral